CACAAAAAAAAUUCUAGUGAGUUUGCUCAGUGAAUUUUUUGGGCUUCGCAACAGCUUUGAGCUGUUGUAAGGGAAAUGCUGGUUGCGAUUAUUGCAUUUUCAUCUUGAUCCUUCCCAUGGCACUUACUGCUGGCAAGGUUUCUAAUGUUCCAGUUUUACCAAAGGGGAUAACUUCCUCUAGAUCAUUUCAAACUGUAUAUUCUUUUGGCAAGUCAACACCGCACAAUCAAUUACUUCCUACAAAUCAAAGAGUUGAGUUUCGGCAAGCGAGCAAUGGGCAUCUUUUGGCAUCAAAAUUAGGCUUCUCUGAUGAGGGUUUGUCAAACAUAUGUGGAAAGCCAAUUGGUUUCAUUGUCUUUCGGAGAAGUUCCAUUUUAUGCUGGUCAACGGGAACACGCAAUAGCAAAGAAAAAGAAUGCAUUAGACCUUAUGGUGAUUCCUCUGAUGUAUCUAGUGCACAAAAUGGAGAAGAGGAAGACAAGCAUCCAGUCGUACCUAGAAUUAUUCACUCAAGUCAGGGCUUAGCUGAAGCUUGUAAAUUUGUGUACAACGAUGCAAAGUUCGUAAAUGAAAGGGCUCGUAGUGACAUUGUCUUGCUUUCUCGAAGCAUAAUGAGGUUAGAUGCCCGUGCACGUCAAGAUGUUGCUAUUCUUGGUUCAAAGUUUCUUAAGCUUGAUGCUCGGGCAAGAGAGGAUACAGAGAAAAUUGACCGUGAUGUGAAGCAAAAAGCUGAACGGCUCCAUCAUAUAGCUACUAUCUUAAAAGAUAAAGCACAGUCUAGAUUGAAAAGAGCUGCUGAUAAGCAUUGGAGUGAUGGAGCCUUAGAGGCUGAUCUGCGCCUUGCUGACUUCCGUGCCAAGCAACGUGCAAUGGAAGAUGCCCUAAUGGCUCUGGAGUUUGUCAAAAAUAUCCUUGACAUGAUGGUGAGCAAGAUGUACAAAUUCCCUUUGUGUAGAGAAAAAAAUUCUCUAUCAGGUACUGAUAUGAUGGAACGUAUAACGCUUGAGAAAAAUGGGAAAACCCUUGAAUUCUUCCUCGGGGAAGUGUCUACUGAUCGUAUUACUGCUAUUCAGGAAGUGUAUUGGAGUAUGGCAUCUGCACUUUCUGAAGCUGAUGGAAUUGACUAUACUGAUCCUGAAGAGCUUGAAUUGUUGAUCGCAACUCUUAUAGAUCUUGAUGCAAUGGAUGGUAAAAGUAGUGUAUCGCUACUGGCGGAGUGUUCAAGUUCUCCUGAUGUCAGCACCAGACGAGCAUUGGCCAAUGCAUUAGCAGCUGCUCCAUCCAUGUGGACUCUUGGCAAUGCGGGGAUGGGGGCAUUGCAGAGACUGGCUGAAGAUAGCAACCCUGCAGUCGCUGUUGCUGCAUCCAAAGCAAUCUAUGAACUGAAGAAACAGUGGGAAAUAGAAGAAGGAGAUAGCUGGAGAUUUAUGAUGAAUCUAAAGCUCGCGGAGGAAGCAGAUAGUGAAGAAUCCAGUGAUGAUGCAGAUACAAACUGAGAAGCUAUCAAGACAAUUAUACUGUAAAUAUCUACAUUUAGCCUCACUGCAUUCCUUAAGAUAAUAGUGGCUUCCCUUGUUUCAGGGAAGUACUGACAAGUGAAACCACUUAUCAUCCGCAUUGGAAUGGACUUUCCAAAAGCUAAAGAAAGCUGAGGGUGAGGGCCACUAAAAGCAAAAGCAGAGAGAUGGACCGUGAUCCCAGCACAUUAAUUAAAGCUUUGUACAGGCAAAGGUUUCUAGUCACAAUCAUAGUCCCCUAAGUUGAUCCAUUUCCCCCUCUUUUUUCAACUACACUUUUUCUUUCUUCUUAGCCUUUUCAUAAUGCUCACCACUUUUGACACCUUCGUUUCAUCAUUCAUUCCUGCCUUUCACUUGGGUUAAAAUAUUGAAUCCCAUUUCUCUUCUCCUUAUUAAAAUAUCUAAUACAUUUAUUAUUACAAGUAUAUAUG
Molecule: RNA transcript, 1948 nt
Organism: Pistacia vera
Lineage: Eukaryota; Viridiplantae; Streptophyta; Magnoliopsida; Sapindales; Anacardiaceae
Gene name: senescence-associated protein AAF, chlorolplastic
Exons: 15
Source: RefSeq, a predicted model, not a curated record